CAUAAAUUUAUGUUAAAUGUACAUUGGAAUCAUCAUAAACAAUUUGCAAAAUUAUUGUAGCUAUUGUAAAAUAGUUUUACGCGUGUGUACAAAUUUUUCUAUACGCAUUUGUACAUAUAUAUAUUGAAUGCAAGUUUUAUAUGAAUAUAUAAAUAUUGCAGGAGAAUAUUAUUAUUAAUAUCAGUUUCUUGGGUCUUUGAACUUGCUCGUCCUCCCCAAUUCGUAGGUACAUGUGUACGCGAUAAAUGAAGGAAAACAGGGGUUGUUUGGUGUUGUAAUAGCAAGGUACGUGAUCAAAGCAAGAAGAUUUGUGCAAACAUGUUCCUCCUGUUUCCAUCCUCAAACUGGGUGGUUCAUUUUUUGCCGAGUCUGAGGACCUCGAAGAUUCGUGACCGAGCCACGUUUCACCUCUUACCCUUGUUCGGCCUGGCCUACCCUUUGAUAUACUUGGCCGUCCCCGAUAUCGCACCCCCCCCCCCCAGGGGCGUAGCCCCUCCACCUUGCCCUUGAUACCCUGAAUUCAAUGAAAUUUUAAUUCGAUGCACGCGUCCACCUUUCUCUGAUCCUAUACUUAUCCAUGAUCAUCGUUCAUUAUCUUCUUGACUGAUAGCUGACUUAUGCAAAUCUGCAUUUUCAUUUUUACACCUGUUCUCGUAGUCUUCUUUCAUCCGAACCCUGUGUUUUAUUUAAUUCUAAAAGUGUGCACAUGUGUGCUUAAUUGCUUUUGGGGGAUAACGAUCAUACUCGACGAAAAUAAAGUAUACUUGCUGUAAAAUUCAACUAAAUUGUAAAGAAUUGACAAGAUUCUCUAGUUGUUUUUUCGGAAAUUCUAAUGUAUAUUUUUGUAAAUAAAACAAACGAAAUUGAGUUAGUUCCAAAAAAUUAAGUGAAAGUUCCCGAUUCGCUAAGAUUUGGGAAAUGGUUUAUUAAAGUUUGUUUAGGCAAUUGGCAAUGUGCCAUUCAAGAGUAGUAUGUACUACACUGUGCUGUACGCGUGCGCAGACAGGGUGUGUGUUUCAACGGAGGUAGAACACUACCGAUUGUGGGCAGUCCGAUCACGACAGUGGCAAAGAACUUUUCGUUAAUAUAUGCACUCUAUCUAGUAAUUGUCAGAUCAUUGAAAUUGGUCUGCAAAGACAGAUGUUCCUGCAGCGACAUCCAAUUACCUCUGAGUUUUGGAUCUCCAAAGAAAAUCAAAAGAUCCUACUAAUUUUCCAUGGAUCCUCUAAAAUCUUCAAAACAUCUAGAAGAUUAUUGGAAGACUUUGGAACUCCUCAAGGAAGCAGAAGAUUUUCAAGAUUUCUUAAAGACCGUCAUAUUAAUGUCCUAGAUCGUCAGGACGAUCCACGGAUUCCUGGGAUAUUAAAGCUUACCCCAGGGACUUCGAAGAUUCUCAAGGACUAUCUAUGAGCUCUUAGCUGCCCGGAAUUGCCUAGGCACUUCGAGGACCUUCGAGAGCCACCAAGGGACACCAAGGAUCUCAAGGAUACUCUAUGGGCUUCGGCGGAUUUUUGAGGGUACGAGUAGAUUUUCGGGGCUCUAGUAUUUUGGGGAUGCAAACUCUUAUGAAAUCAUAAAAUCAAAAUGUCCAGAUCUUAUGCAACCUUCGAGAAAAUUGUUAGACCAACAGAAUAUUCGUGAAUAAUAAAAUCAAAAUGAUGAUACACGGUCUGGCAAAUUGAAGCCUUUAUAGAACGUAA
Non-coding RNA from Megalopta genalis, 1700 nucleotides. Lineage: Eukaryota; Metazoa; Arthropoda; Insecta; Hymenoptera; Halictidae. The record is from RefSeq and is a predicted model, not a curated record.